RNAcentral lists this ribosomal RNA (253 nucleotides) under uncultured bacterium. RNAcentral describes it as "partial 16S ribosomal RNA". It matches the Rfam family "Bacterial small subunit ribosomal RNA", at positions 524 to 776 of the family's 1533-position model. The record is from RNAcentral.
UACGUAGGUGGCCAGCGUUGUCCGGCUUUAUUGGGUUUAAAGGGUGCGUAGGCGGUCUAUUAAGUCAGUGCUGAAAUAUCCCGGCUUAACCGGGAGGGUGGCAUUGAUACUGAUGGACUUGAGUGCAGUCGAGGUAGGCGGAAUUGACGGUGUAGCGGUGAAAUGCUUAGAUAUCGUCAAGAACACCGAUAGUGAAGACAGCUUACUAGACUGUAACUGACGCUGAGGCACGAAAGUGUGGGGAUCAAACAGG